UAUGUAUAUAUAUAUAUAUGUGUGUGUGUGUGUGUGUAUGUAUAUACACACACACAUAUACAUGUACAUGCAUACAUACAUAUACA
This 86-nucleotide microRNA precursor is filed under the name Ovis aries (sheep). Its description in RNAcentral is "miRNA (ENSOARG00000021460.1)". The record is from RNAcentral. Lineage: Eukaryota; Metazoa; Chordata; Mammalia; Artiodactyla; Bovidae.